GAUGAACGCUGGCGGCGUGCCUAAUACAUGCAAGUCGAGCGAACAGACGAGGAGCUUGCUCCUCUGACGUUAGCGGCGGACGGGUGAGUAACACGUGGAUAACCUACCUAUAAGACUGGGAUAACUUCGGGAAACCGGAGCUAAUACCGGAUAAUAUAUUGAACCGCAUGGUUCAAUAGUGAAAGACGGUUUUGCUGUCACUUAUAGAUGGAUCCGCGCCGCAUUAGCUAGUUGGUAAGGUAACGGCUUACCAAGGCAACGAUGCGUAGCCGACCUGAGAGGGUGAUCGGCCACACGGGAUCUGAGACACGGUCCAGACUCCGACGGGGGGCAGCAGUAGGGAAUCUUCCGCAAUGGGCGAAAGCCUGACGGAGCAACGCCGCGUGAGUGAUGAUGGUCUUCGGAUCGUAGAACUCUGUUAUUAGGGAAGAACAAAUGUGUAAGUAACUAUGCACGUCUUGACGGUACCUAAUCAGAAAGCCACGGCUAACUACGUG
Molecule: ribosomal RNA, 497 nt
Filed under: uncultured bacterium
Lineage: Bacteria
Description: partial 16S ribosomal RNA
Rfam family: Bacterial small subunit ribosomal RNA
Source: RNAcentral